Molecule: ribosomal RNA, 490 nt
Filed under: uncultured bacterium
Lineage: Bacteria
Description: partial 16S ribosomal RNA
Rfam family: Bacterial small subunit ribosomal RNA
Source: RNAcentral
GAUGAACGCUAGCUACAGGCUUAACACAUGCAAGUCGCGUGGCAGCAUGGGGGUUGCUUGCAAUCCCCGAUGGCGACCGGCGCACGGGUGAGUAACGCGUAUCCAACCUGCCCUUCACCACGGGAUAACCCGGCGAAAGUCGGACUAAUACCGUAUGUUGUCCAUUGACGGCAUCCGAUUUGGACGAAAGGUUUGGCGGUGAAGGAUGGGGAUGCGUCCGAUUAGCUGGACGGCGGGGUGACGGCCCACCGUGGCGACGAUCGGUAGGGGUUCUGAGAGGAAGGUCCCCCACACUGGAACUGAGACACGGUCCAGACUCCUACGGGAGGCAGCAGUGAGGAAUAUUGGUCAAUGGGCGUAAGCCUGAACCAGCCAAGUAGCGUGCAGGAGGACGGCCCUAUGGGUUGUAAACUGCUUUUAUGCGGGGAUAAAGUGGCCCACGUGUGGGUUUUUGCAGGUACCGCAUGAAUAAGGACCGGCUAAUUCCGUG